This 253-nucleotide ribosomal RNA is filed under the name uncultured bacterium. RNAcentral describes it as "partial 16S ribosomal RNA". It matches the Rfam family "Bacterial small subunit ribosomal RNA", at positions 524 to 776 of the family's 1533-position model. The record is from RNAcentral.
UACGAAGGGGGCUAGCGUUGCUCGGAAUUACUGGGCGUAAAGCGCACGUAGGCGGCUUUCUAAGUCGGGGGUGAAAUCCUGGAGCUCAACUCCAGAACUGCCUUCGAUACUGGAGAGCUUGAGUCCGGGAGAGGUGAGUGGAACCGCGAGUGUAGAGGUGAAAUUCGUAGAUAUUCGCAAGAACACCAGUGGCGAAGGCGGCUCACUGGCCCGGUACUGACGCUGAGGUGCGAAAGCGUGGGGAGCAAACAGG